UGGGGAAUUUUGGACAAUGGGGGAAACCCUGAUCCAGCCAUCCCGCGUGUGGGAUGAAGGCCUUCGGGUUGUAAAGCACUUUUGGCAGGGAAGAAACGUCAUGGGCUAAUACCCCGUGAAACUGACGGUACCUGCAGAAUAAGCACCGGCUAACUACGUUGCAGCAGCCGCGGUAAUACGGAGGGUGCAAGCGUUAAUCGGAAUUACUGGGCGUAAAGGGUGCGCAGGCGGUUCGGAAAGGAAGAUGUGAAAUCCCAGGGCUCAACUGUGGAACUGCAUUUUUAACUACCGGGCUGGAGUGUGUCAGAGGGAGGUGGAAUUCCGCGUGUAGCAGUGAAAUGCGUAGAUAUGCAGAGGAACACCGGUGGCGAAGGCAGCCUCCUGGGAUAUACCUGACGCUGAGGCACGAAAGCGUGGGGAGCAAACAGG
Molecule: ribosomal RNA, 429 nt
Filed under: Acidobacteriota bacterium
Lineage: Bacteria; Pseudomonadati; Acidobacteriota
Description: Acidobacteria bacterium partial 16S ribosomal RNA
Rfam family: Bacterial small subunit ribosomal RNA
Source: RNAcentral